UACGUAGGGCGCAAGCGUUAAUCGGAAUUACUGGGCGUAAAGCGUGCGCAGGCGGUUAUGCAAGACAGAGGGGAAAUCCCCGGGCUCAACCUGGGAACUGCCUUUGUGACUGCAUAGCUAGAGUACGGUAGAGGGGGAUGGAAUUCCGCGUGUAGCAGUGAAAUGCGUAGAUAUGCGGAGGAACACCGAUGGCGAAGGCAAUCCCCUGGACCUGUACUGACGCUCAUGCACGAAAGCGUGGGGAGCAAACAGG
This 253-nucleotide ribosomal RNA is filed under the name uncultured bacterium. RNAcentral describes it as "partial 16S ribosomal RNA". It matches the Rfam family "Bacterial small subunit ribosomal RNA", at positions 524 to 776 of the family's 1533-position model. The record is from RNAcentral.